Molecule: ribosomal RNA, 484 nt
Filed under: uncultured bacterium
Lineage: Bacteria
Description: partial 16S ribosomal RNA
Rfam family: Bacterial small subunit ribosomal RNA
Source: RNAcentral
AUUGAACGCUGGCGGCAUGCUUUACACAUGCAAGUCGAACGGCAGCGCGGGCUUCGGCCUGGCGGCGAGUGGCGAACGGGUGAGUAAUGCAUCGGAACGUGCCCAGUCGUUGGGGAUAGCCCGGCGAAAGCCGGCUUAAUACCGCAUCCGACCUGAGGGUGAAAGCGGGGGACCGAAAGGCCUCGCGCUAUUGGCGCGGCCGAUGUCGGAUUAGCUAGUUGGUGGGGUAAAGGCUUACCAAGGCGACGAUCCGUAGCUGGUCUGAGAGGACGACCAGCCACACUGGGACUGAGACACGGCCCAGACUCCUACGGGAGGCAGCAGUGGGGAAUUUUGGACAAUGGGGGCAACCCUGAUCCAGCCAUGCCGCGUGCGGGAAGAAGGCCUUCGGGUUGUAAACCGCUUUUGUUCGGGAAGAAAUCCUCUGGGCUAAUACCCCGGGGGGAUGACGGUACCGGAAGAAUAAGCACCGGCUAACUACGUG